GCUGCUGCUGCAGGCGGAGAGGAGUCUGCUGCCACUCUUCAUCCACAUGAAUGAGGACAUCCCCAACGUGGCGCAGGCUGCUCAGAAAGCUCUGAUCCACGCCGCCAAGCUCCUGGGCUGGCAGCAACUGCAACGCUUGGCCUGUGCGGCGGAGGUCUGGAUGAUUGCUGACUGCCUGCUUCAGAAGAGGGGCAGAGAUGCGGAGCAGUACCUGAAGGACACGGUGCUGCACCUGCACAGCCCCCAGGUGCCCGUGAGGGACACGGC
This is a long non-coding RNA of Gallus gallus (chicken), 267 nucleotides long. RefSeq lists it as uncharacterized. NCBI's taxonomy places the organism in Eukaryota, Metazoa, Chordata, Aves, Galliformes, Phasianidae. The transcript has 3 exons. The record is from RefSeq and is a predicted model, not a curated record.